Molecule: ribosomal RNA, 305 nt
Filed under: uncultured bacterium
Lineage: Bacteria
Description: bacterial SSU rRNA
Rfam family: Bacterial small subunit ribosomal RNA
Source: RNAcentral
GUCCCCUACGGGACGCAGCAGUGAGGAAUAUUGGUCAAUGGCCGGAAGGCUGAACCAGCCAAGCCGCGUGAAGGACGAAGGUGCCAAGCAUUGUAAACUUCUUUUGUCAAGGGACAAAAUCAGGCUCGAGAGCCUGACCGAGGGUACUUGAAGAAAAAGCAUCGGCUAACUCCGUGCCAGCAGCCGCGGUAAUACGGAGGAUGCGAGCGUUAUCCGGAUUUAUUGGGUUUAAAGGGUGCGUAGGCGGGCUGUUAAGUCAGCGGUCAAAUGUCGGGGCUCAACCCCGGCCUGCCGUUGAAACUGGG